Molecule: non-coding RNA, 330 nt
Filed under: Pongo abelii (Sumatran orangutan)
Lineage: Eukaryota; Metazoa; Chordata; Mammalia; Primates; Hominidae
Source: RNAcentral
CUCUAGCAUCAAACUUCAGCUGCUACAGAGAAAGCCAGGUGUAUGGAGCAAACAAAGCCUGCAGCCUGGGAGAUUAGGAACCGCUCCUAACAACGGACUUAAUAACAUCACAUUAAUCACCUGAUUGGAUUCUUCCAACUUGAAGCUCACAGAAGUUGAGAAAACAGAUCUUGAGAAGGGAAGGGAGCCAAGGUCACACAGCAAGCAAGGAGCGCUGCCAGGCCUCUGACCCUGGGCUCCACCUUCAAAGGUCAAAGAUUAAGGUGCCCACAACAAGCCCCUGCCAGUGUGUGGGGGAGUAUCCAGACCUCACCUGUUGUCCAGGAUGGG